Molecule: ribosomal RNA, 868 nt
Filed under: uncultured bacterium
Lineage: Bacteria
Description: bacterial SSU rRNA
Rfam family: Bacterial small subunit ribosomal RNA
Source: RNAcentral
AGAGUUUGAUCAUGGCUCAGGAUGAACGCUAGCGGAAGGCCUAAUACAUGCAAGUCGAGCGGUAGAGUACUUCGGUACUUGAGAGCGGCGCACGGGUGAGUAACGCGUACAUGACCUACCUACGAGAAGGGAAUAGCCCUGGGAAACUGGGAUUAAAGCCCUAUGGUAUUAUUGAUAUAGAGGUUAAUAAUUAAAUCUGAGGAGCUCGUAGAUGGAUGUGCGUCUGAUUAGCUAGUUGGUGAGGUAGUGGCUCACCAAGGCGACGAUCAGUAGGGGGCGUGAGAGCGUGAUCCCCCACACGGGUACUAAGACACGGACCCGACUCCUACGGGAGGCAGCAGUAAGGAAUAUUGGACAAUGGAGGGAACUCUGAUCCAGCCAUUCCGCGUGCAGGAUGACUGCCCUAUGGGUUGUAAACUGCUUUUAGAUAGGAAGAAAAUGGUUAAUGCGUUAGCCACUGACGGUACUAUCAGAAUAAGGACCGGCUAACUCCGUGCCAGCAGCCGCGGUAAUACGGAGGGUCCAAGCGUUAUCCGGAAUCACUGGGUUUAAAGGGUGCGUAGGCGGAAGAUUAAGUCUAAGUUGAAAGUAUGUCGCUUAACGAUAUAAUUGGCAUGGAUACUGGUUUUCUUGAAUUGGGUUGAGGAUAGCGGAAUGUGACAUGUAGCGGUGAAAUGCAUAGAUAUGUCAUAGAACACCAAAUGCGAAGGCAGCUAUCUGGGCCUUGAUUGACGCUGAGGCACGAAAGCGUGGGGAUCGAACAGGAUUAGAUACCCUGGUAGUCCACGCCCUAAACGAUGCUAACUCGAUGUUUGGACCAGUAAGUUUGAGCAUCCAAGCGAAAGCGUUAAGUAGCCACCUGGAGAUC